RNAcentral lists this ribosomal RNA (253 nucleotides) under uncultured bacterium. RNAcentral describes it as "partial 16S ribosomal RNA". It matches the Rfam family "Bacterial small subunit ribosomal RNA", at positions 524 to 776 of the family's 1533-position model. The record is from RNAcentral.
UACGUAGGGUGCGAGCGUUGUCCGGAAUUAUUGGGCGUAAAGAGCUCGUAGGCGGUGUGUCGCGUCGGCCGUGAAAACCUGGGGCUCAACUCUGGGCGUGCGGUCGAUACGGGCAGACUAGAGUACUGCAGGGGAGACUGGAAUUCCUGGUGUAGCGGUGGAAUGCGCAGAUAUCAGGAGGAACACCGGUGGCGAAGGCGGGUCUCUGGGCCGAUACUGACGCUGAGGAGCGAAAGCGUGGGGAGCGAACAGG